UUUAAGCAUAUCCACUCAGUGGAGGAGAAGCAAGAAACCUCGAUGGCUUCAGUAACGGCGAGUGAACUGGCAACACACGCGAUCGGGCUCAACCCGAACCUGGAUCCCCAAACCGCACCGCUGGUGCGUUCGGCUUCCGUGGGUCUUUCAGCUGAUGCUGUGGGCAGAAAGGAGCAGGCGGUCUGUCCCGGGUGGCUGCCGCACCAGGGAGUGCCCUGGAAAGGCCCACCACAGGGGGAAACUGUCCCGUACGCUGGCCCGCGUGUGGCGGCGCCUGGGACGGGCCGUCCGUAUCCUCGAGUAGAGUGGCUUGGGACUGCAGUUUGAAGCGCCAGGUGUAUCCCUGGCAAGGCAGAACAUCCGACAUGAGACCGAUAGCGCACAAGUAGAGUGAUUGAAGGAUGCAAAGGACUUUGCAAAGAGGGUUAAAAGUCCCUGAAGCCGCGGCGGGGGCAGCGGCGGGCGGCCCCGUGCGCGCUUGUGGAGCAGAAGCGAGGCGGCACACCGUCCGGUGUGCUGUCCGUGCGUGAAAGGGCUGGCUUUCGUUGUGGCAAAGAGAGCAGAGACGAUGCGGGGAAAGAAGACUGACUGGGCUGUGCGUUCGGAUCACGGAGAGACGCAACAGGGCCCGACCGAGAGCUUGGCCACCCAACCUGGAGGGCAGAAGGAAGGAGCCGCGCCCGGAAAGCCCACCGCCCGGUGGAGAAACCGGCCGAAAAGCCCCCGGUGCCUGGGUCCUCACCGACCCGGCCGGCGGGCGAAGUACGUGGUUGGACCUCCUGCAACCCGGGCGAGGACCAUGGGACGGCCCGACCGGGACGCCUUCCCAGGUGGGCAAGAAGGCCCCCCGGCUCUGCCGGGGGCAAACCGGUUGGCACAAGGAGGGACGGCCCCCUCCGSGCCCGCCCGCACACGCUGGUCUUGGUCCGAGCCCCAGGCGAGAGAAAAGGCUCCCCGUCCCAAGCAACCUCGGGCCAGCCCGCGGCCGGCCGCUGAGCCCUCCCCCGAGGGGGUGGAUCGUAGUCGCGGCGGCCCCGCGGUGGCACCCUGCCUGGCGGGGCCCGAGGCUUGUCAUGAUGGUGGUGUUGGCACACGCGGCAGAAAAGCGGGUACAUCCCGCGGCCCAACAAGGCAAAAAGGGGCCGUGUCUGUGGUGGCAAAGAAGGAGCAAAAAGGGGGUCUCUACGGAGCCCCCGCAUCCGGAGGAUGGCUGUUGCGCUGGCUGAACCCCUGGUCGCGUCUCCGGGCGCGCCAGUGAACCCCGCGGCUCACGGUUUGGGGCCCGGGCGGUGGCCCAGGGUGGCUGCACCCGUUCCGAGGGUGGCCCCCGGGCGGCCGCCUGCCCCCCGGCUGGCGCGGGGGGCCAGUGUGAUGAAGGCAACAACUGUGGGGCUUGGGUGGCAUUGGGGCCACCCUCUGCCCGUCUUGAAACACGGAUCAAGGAGUCUAUGGAGCCUGCGGGUUGUCUGGUGCGGAUCAACAAAACCACAAGGCGUGGUGAAGGCAACCCUCGGCCCGGAUGAUGGUGCAAAAACAACGGCAGGCCCCGGCCGCCCGGCCGGAUGGCAAGGUCGAACAGGAAAAGACUGCACGGGCCACCGGUCCCGCAGUCCAGCGGACAGGGUUCUGAGUGCGUGCAAGGUCCAUGGGACCCGAAAGGUGGUGAACUAUACCGUUCCACGACGAAGCCAUGGGAAACUGUGGUGGAGGUCGGUCGCUGUUCUGACGUGCAAAUUGUGUAGCCUGAGCGCGGCAUAGGGGUGAAAGGCCAAUCGAGCCACCUAGUAGCUGGUUUCCUCUGAAGUUUCCCUCAGGAUAGCUGGGCUCCAUCGAGCAAGCCUGGAAGAAGGAACAGGCAGACAAAACAACAAGGGCCGAUCAACAGCAACACUCCACCACCGCGUGUGGUUAUGUCCGGUAAAGCAACGCACGAGAGGCAAACCCUGGGAGGCCUUCCUCCUGGACCUAUUCUCGAACUGUGAAUGGGCAUGGAUGUUACCACGCCAGAAAGGCAUGCUUCUUCACUGGCGCCUGAGCCCGCCCCGGUCCCACCGGCGUGCGGUUCUCACCGGCUUCUGAGCAUGUUCUCCCACCCAGCCGCCGGGUGGCCGCGCCGAGCCGCCCCCGAGGGGUCGGGGCGCCGAGGGGAUGGAAAGUGUGUCAGGUCCAGUCGGAGCAGACAUCGAGAGAGGUGUGCGUGCCGCGCCAGAGGGCGCGCCGCGCACCACACGGCCCGGGUAUGGUCCCGCGCCCCCCCGCGGGGCUGGGAACCCAACCGGGGUCGCCCCGUGAGUGUUGACCCGCCUCUGGAUGGGGAAAUGCCGCCUCUCUCCCUCCUCCCGGCCCCCUCCCUCGGCCCUGUGGCUCCCCGGCCCGCGGUGGCCUUGUUUCGAACAGAGGUGCCCAUGUGGGCCAUCAUUGGUAAGCAGUGCUGGCGAUGCGGGAUGCUCCGAGAGUGGACUUAUGGAUCCAGAGUGCUGGCUCAUACCCAGAUCCCACAAAGGAUGUUGCCUGCUAGGGAUAGCAGGACGGUGGCCAUGAAGGUUGGAACCCGCUAAGGAAUGUGUAACAACUCACCUGCCGAAGCGAGCAGCUCCGAAAACGGAUGGCGCCCAAGUCAGUGAGGCUGAAUUCGUCCCACAGUCCACCGCCAACGUGGCGGGCGAUCUCGAUCGACCUUCGGCAGAGCAUUGGCAGUGUAAGAGGACUCGGAGGCCCGCGGCCCCCGCGGGGGUUGCCCCCCGCCGGCGCGGCCUCCGGAGCAGAUCUUGGUUGCAGUAGCGAGUACUCCAUCGGGUGAAGAGCUGGAACAGCCCACGCUGUGUGCGGUUGAGGACUGGAGUGGAGCAGGUUUCCGCACCAAACAGCCGUUGAAUGCGGGUCAACCGACCGUGAGCCAAGUGGUAAAGGCACCGAACAACCAAAGCUGCACACCGGGGUGCUCGCCCCCCCACGCGCCCGCGGGCCCGCCCCGUCCGUCCUCUCUCGGCCUCCUUCCGGCCUCCGGUCCCUCUGUCGCUUGCCCCCCUCGCACCGAAGCCAAGGCGAGGAAGGGUGCUUUGUGUGCGGUCGGGCCCCGCGGCAGACGCCAAGGGGCAAGGCCAAGCCAACCCCUCCGCGGCGGGGGCCUUUGUCUGGACCAUGGUCGGAGAGCCAAGGAGAAGGGGGCGCGGCGCUUCGGUGUCCCCCGGGCGCGGCAGGGGCGCCACCCAUCGGCAGGAAUGGCAAACAGGCAAGCAAGUGCAACGUUCUGCUGUGCUGGGAUUGGGGCAGAUCGGGAUGGCAACAUCUCAGAAUGCGUGCAAGCAGGACCGCGGGGCAGUGCACCCCCCGAGGAGUUCUCGUUUCCUCCUGACGCAGGCUCAUGUGGGCUAUGGAUUGGCACGACAGGUGGUGGCGUACGCCCUCCGCCCGGCAAGGCAGUGUAGUCUCCACACUGGUGGUCUCACGAUGCUGGCAAAAGAAGGAACCGGAAUGCUCUCGUUGUGUGUCCCCGCGGGGUUGGCCAUGCCCCCACCGGGCCCUCUCACCACCCCGCGGCCCCCGCCGAGGGUCCCCGCCGGGGGGGUUGAACAGGGCGCCGCGGGAUUGUGGCUCGUCCCCGCAGGAAUACCGCUCGUCUCUCUCAGGAUUAUGUCCCACCCAGUCGCGGUGGUCACUGGCUCCAAUGAACAGCCUGCGGGCCCGGGCGUGCCCCUGGGCCCUGGGCUUCGUACUGAAUCACCGCAGCCGGUCUCCUCGGCCAAACGCCGCUUGUCCACGGACGCAAUGCAGCUAAGGGAAGUCGGCAAACUGGAUGUGUACCUUCGGAAGAUACAUUGGCUCCAGAGGCCAAGUCCUGGGGUCCCGCCGUGGGCUCUGCGGCCSUGGGGGCAGCCCGCCCCGCUGGCGUCCCCGGGCGUCGGCGCGGGCGGCCCCGCAGGGGGGCCUCCCCCGGGAGGCGCCUGCCCCCACCCGCUCUGUCUUCUCGUGGCGGGGGGCCUGCCCGCGGCGCCCGCAAGGGUGCGGGGCACGGCCCGCCUCCGGGACUACGUGGUGGCUCGCGUGGAACUGUUGCUGUGCAGGGGAAUCUGACUGUUUAAUUGAAACACAGCUUUGUGAAGGGACCAGCUGGCUGGUGCCAUGAGGUGACUUCUGCCCAGUGCUCUGAUUGUCAAUGCGAAGAGAUUCUGCCAAGCGCGGGUAAACGGCGGGAGUAACUAUGACUCUCUUAAGGUAGCCAAAUGCCUCGUCAACCAAUUAUUGACGCGCAUGAAUGGAUCAACGAGAUUCCUGCUGUCCCUAGGUGCCGUCUGGUGAACCAACAGCCAAGGGAACGGGCUUGGGUGUGUCAGCGGGGAAAGAAGAGCCUGUUGAGA
This 4358-nucleotide ribosomal RNA is filed under the name Euglena exilis. RNAcentral's name for it is "partial large subunit ribosomal RNA". It matches the Rfam family "Eukaryotic large subunit ribosomal RNA", at positions 33 to 2422 of the family's 3401-position model. Lineage: Eukaryota; Euglenozoa; Euglenophyceae; Euglenales; Euglenaceae. The record is from RNAcentral.